GGGCAGGAUAGGUGAAGGGGGCCCACCAGUAACACUGGUUGGCCACCCUUCACAGGCCCACUUCUUCGCGCCUGCGCGCUCAAUGGGGGCUAUCCUGCGGAGGAGAU
Molecule: non-coding RNA, 107 nt
Organism: Nitrospira sp. HN-bin3
Lineage: Bacteria; Pseudomonadati; Nitrospirota; Nitrospiria; Nitrospirales; Nitrospiraceae
Source: Rfam